RNAcentral lists this long non-coding RNA (478 nucleotides) under Gorilla gorilla gorilla (western lowland gorilla). RNAcentral's name for it is "lncRNA (ENSGGOG00000044401.1)". The record is from RNAcentral. Lineage: Eukaryota; Metazoa; Chordata; Mammalia; Primates; Hominidae.
GUGAGACCUGAUCAACUAGCAACAUGCGGAAGUCACACCAUUAAGUCUUCCAAUUUGCUAGCAGCAAAUCAAUGAACUCUGAUAGCUGCUGCCCUAAGCUAGCAUCCAGGGAACUGUGGACAAGCUAUUUGAUACCUGAAUUUUAGUGAAGGCUUUGUCAGGCCAGGAGAUGGUUUUGCAGCAGCAGAAGACUAUGAACUGGGCUUUGGGAGAUAGGAUCUCUGGUUGUAUUCUGGCUAUCCACACUCUGAAAGACGACCGUGACAGAGAAUUUGAGUAUCCUACCAAUAUACCAACAAAAGGAUGAAAGAAGAUUUGGAGUCAAGGGAAAACAAGGGCAAUAAAAUAGAUGCUUACCACCUGCUCUAAUACAGUUGCUAGAAGAGGACUGCACAUUUGGUUCUAAGUUUCUGGAAGAUAAAGCAAAAAUAGAAACACAACUCAUUAUAAAAUUUUGGUGUAUCCAUAAAAUAAAAAC